RNAcentral lists this microRNA precursor (52 nucleotides) under Loxodonta africana (African savanna elephant). Its description in RNAcentral is "mir-1302 microRNA precursor family". It matches the Rfam family "mir-1302 microRNA precursor family". The record is from Rfam by way of RNAcentral. Lineage: Eukaryota; Metazoa; Chordata; Mammalia; Proboscidea; Elephantidae.
UUUUUAGUAUAAUUAUGCUCCAUGAAAUAUUUGGGAUAUACUUAUACUAAGU